RNAcentral lists this transfer RNA (72 nucleotides) under Crassvirales sp. RNAcentral's name for it is "tRNA-Glu". It matches the Rfam family "tRNA". From Rfam's summary of the family: Transfer RNA (tRNA) molecules are approximately 80 nucleotides in length. Their secondary structure includes four short double-helical elements and three loops (D, anti-codon, and T loops). Lineage: Duplodnaviria; Heunggongvirae; Uroviricota; Caudoviricetes; Crassvirales. The record is from RNAcentral.
GGUCUAUUCGUCUAAUGGUUAGGACACAAGGUUUUCAUUCUUGUAACAGCAGUUCGACUCUGCUAUAGACUA